This 449-nucleotide unclassified non-coding RNA is filed under the name uncultured fungus. RNAcentral's name for it is "partial internal transcribed spacer 1". It matches the Rfam family "Bacterial small subunit ribosomal RNA", at positions 338 to 795 of the family's 1533-position model. The record is from RNAcentral. Lineage: Eukaryota; Fungi.
CCUACGGGUGGCAGCAGUGGGGAAUAUUGCACAAUGGGCGCAAGCCUGAUGCAGCAACGCCGCGUGAGGGAUGACGGCCUUCGGGUUGUAAACCUCUUUUAGUAGGGAAGAAGGGCUUCGGCUUGACGGUACCUGCAGAAAAAGCACCGGCUAACUACGUGCCAGCAGCCGCGGUAAUACGUAGGGUGCGAGCGUUGUCCGGAAUUAUUGGGCGUAAAGAGCUCGUAGGCGGUUUGUCACGUCUGCUGUGAAAUCCCGAGGCUCAACCUCGGGCCUGCAGUGGGUACGGGCAGACUGGAGUGCGGUAGGGGAGAAUGGAAUUCCUGGUGUAGCGGUGGAAUGCGCAGAUAUCAGGAGGAACACCGAUGGCGAAGGCAGUUCUCUGGGCCGUAACUGACGCUGAGGAGCGAAAGCGUGGGGAGCGAACAGGAUUAGAUACCCUGGUAGUC